GUUGAGAGUCAGCUUGUGAAUUCUGGAUAGGUUGAAGAUUUUGAACUUCCUCAAGUUCAACAGACCUCCCACUGUCCCCUUCUUGGAUGAACUCUUUCUCUAAGAAAACGGCAUGCCUACCAACAAAUAUGUUUUGUUGAGUAGGAUAAUAGAAGUAGUAUUCUAUACUCUCCUUGGUAUAACCCACAAACCUGUAUUUUUCUGAUCUAGUAC
This 213-nucleotide long non-coding RNA is filed under the name Elaeis guineensis (African oil palm). Its description in RNAcentral is "long non-coding RNA (EGUI_LNC046359)". The record is from RNAcentral. Lineage: Eukaryota; Viridiplantae; Streptophyta; Magnoliopsida; Arecales; Arecaceae.